This 1459-nucleotide ribosomal RNA is filed under the name metagenome. RNAcentral's name for it is "bacterial SSU rRNA". It matches the Rfam family "Bacterial small subunit ribosomal RNA". The record is from RNAcentral.
AGAGUUUGAUCCUGGCUCAGGAUGAACGCUGGCGGCAGGUCUGACACAUGCAAGUCGAACGGGAAGCCGGUGCUUGCACCGGUGGAGAGUGGCGAACGGCUGAGUAACACGUAGGAACCUACCCCUUGGACCGGGAUAACAGAGGGAAACUUCUGCUAAUACCGGAUAUAUUCUUCGGAAGGAAAUGGUCCGCCGCCGAGGGAGGGGCCUGCGGCGUAUUAGCUUGAUGGUGAGGUAACGGCUCACCAUGGCUAUGAUACGUAGCUGGUCUGAGAGGACGAUCAGCCAGACUGGGACUGCGACACGGCCCAGACUCCUACGGGAGGCAGCAGUUCAGAAUCUUGCACAAUAGGCGAAAGCCUGAUGCAGCCAUGCCGCGUGUGUGAAGAAGGCCCUCGGGUCGUAAAGCACUGUCAGGAGGGAAGAUAAUGACGGUACCUCCAAAGGAAGCAACGGCUAAUUACGUGCCAGCAGCCGCGGUAAUACGUAAGUUGCGAGCGUUAUCCGGAAUCACUGGGCGUAAAGCGUUCGUAGGCGGUGUGGUAAGUCGGAUUUGAAAGCCCGGGGCUCAACCCCGGAUCCGGAUCCGAAACUAUCAUACUUGAGUGUAUCAGAGGGUAGUGGAAUUCCCGGUGUAGCGGUAAUAUGCGUAGAUAUCGGGAGGAACACCAGUGGCGAAGGCGACUACCUGGGGUACUACUGACGCUGAGGAACGAAAGCUAGGGGAGCGAACGGGAUUAGAUACCCCGGUAGUCCUAGCCGUAAACGAUGGGCACUAGGUGUCGGGGGCUUCGACCCCCUCGGUGCCGCCGCUAACGCAUUAAGUGCCCCGCCUGGGAAGUACGGCCGCAAGGUUAAAACUCAAAGGAAUUGACGGGUCCCCGCACAAGCAGUGGAGCAUGUGGAUUAAUUCGAUGCUACGCGAAGAACCUUACCAGGACUUGACAUCCUGCUGAAAGCAUCUGGAAACAGUAGCCCCCUUCGGGCAGCAGUGACAGGUGGUGCAUGGCUGUCGUCAGCUCGUGCCGUGAGGUGUCAGAUUAAGUUCUGUAACGAGCGCAACCCUCGUUGUUAGUUGCCAUCAUUAAGUUGGGCACUCUAGCGAGACUGCCAGCGUCAAGCUGGAGGAAGGUGGGGAUGACGUCAAGUCAUCAUGCCCCUUACGUCCUGGGCUUCACACGUGCUACAAUGGCCGGUACAACGGGCUGCAACACCGCGAGGUGAAGCGAAUCCCUUAAAGCCGGUCUCAGUUCGGAUUGGAGGCUGCAACUCGCCUCCAUGAAGUUGGAAUUGCUAGUAAACGUGGAUCAGCAUGCCGCGUUGAAUACGUACCCGGGGAUUGUACACACCGCCCGUCACACCACGGAAGUUGGUAACACCCGAAGUCCGUCAGCUAACCCGCAAGGGAUGCAGCGGCCGAAGGUGGGAUCAAUGACUGGGGUGAAGUCGUAACAAGGUA